UACGUAGGGUGCGAGCGUUGUCCGGAAUCACUGGGCGUAAAGGGCGCGUAGGCGGACUUUUAAGUCAGGGGUGAAAUCCUGAGGCUCAACCUCAGAACUGCCUUUGAUACUGAGGGUCUCGAGACCGGUAGAGGUAAGUGGAACUGCGAGUGUAGAGGUGAAAUUCGUAGAUAUUCGCAAGAACACCAGUGGCGAAGGCGGCUUACUGGACCGGUUCUGACGCUGAGGCGCGAAAGCGUGGGGAGCAAACAGG
RNAcentral lists this ribosomal RNA (253 nucleotides) under uncultured bacterium. RNAcentral describes it as "partial 16S ribosomal RNA". It matches the Rfam family "Bacterial small subunit ribosomal RNA", at positions 524 to 776 of the family's 1533-position model. The record is from RNAcentral.